CGGCGUGGGAUAGGCAUGCAAGUCGAGCGCUGCCUUGGGCAGGGAGCGGCGAACGGGUUAGUAACGCGUAGGUAUCUACCUUGAAGUCUGGAAUAACUCGGAGAAAUCCGGGCUAAUACCAGAUAGUCCCGCAAGGGUAAAGUGUCACUUCGGUGAUUUCGCUUCAAGAGGAGCCUGCGUCCUAUCAGCUUGUUGGUGAGGUAAUGGCUCACCAAGGCAAUGACAAGUAGGCGGUGUGAGAGCAUGACCGCCAACAAUGGAACUGCGACACGGUCCAUACACCUACGGGUGGCAGCAGUCGAGAAUCUUCCGCAAUGGGCGAAAGCCUGACGGAGCGACGCCGCGUGAGUGAAGAAGCCCUUCGGGGUGUAAAGCUCUUUUCUGGAGGAAAAAUUUUUACUUUUGUAAUUGUGAUGGUACUCCAGGAAUAAGGGGCCGCUAAACUCGUGCCAGCAGCGGCGGUAAUACGAGUGCCCCAAGCGUUAUCCGGAAUUAUUGGGCGUAAAGCGUGGGUAGGCGGUCUUGAUAGUGGUUGGUUAAAUGCCGAGGCUUAACCUCGGUCCGGCCAAUCAAACGUCAGGACUAGAGCAGGUGAGAGGCUGAUGGAACUUACCAAGUAGAGGUGAAAUCCGUUGAUAUGGUAGGGAACACCAAAGGCGAAGGCAUUCAGCUGGUGCCUGGCUGACGCUGAGCCACGAAAGCGUGGGUAGCGAAUGAGAUUAGAUACCUCAUGUCCCGCCCUAAACGAUGCCAACUAGCCGUUGGGAGACGACCCUCUCAGUGGCGAAGCUAACGCUUAAGUUGCCGCCUGGGAAGUACGCCGCAAGGCUAAAAUCUCAAAUACAUGUGAGACG
Molecule: ribosomal RNA, 854 nt
Filed under: uncultured bacterium
Lineage: Bacteria
Description: bacterial SSU rRNA
Rfam family: Bacterial small subunit ribosomal RNA
Source: RNAcentral